This 253-nucleotide ribosomal RNA is filed under the name uncultured bacterium. RNAcentral's name for it is "partial 16S ribosomal RNA". It matches the Rfam family "Bacterial small subunit ribosomal RNA", at positions 524 to 776 of the family's 1533-position model. The record is from RNAcentral.
UACGUAGGGUGCGAGCGUUGUCCGGAAUUAUUGGGCGUAAAGGGCUCGUAGGCGGUUUGUCGCGUCGGGAGUGAAAACCAGGUGCUUAACACCUGGCUUGCUUUCGAUACGGGCAGACUAGAGGUAUGCAGGGGAGAACGGAAUUCCUGGUGUAGCGGUGAAAUGCGCAGAUAUCAGGAGGAACACCGGUGGCGAAGGCGGGUCUCUGGGCAGUAACUGACGCUGAGAAGCGAAAGCGUGGGUAGCGAACAGG